RNAcentral lists this ribosomal RNA (253 nucleotides) under uncultured bacterium. RNAcentral's name for it is "partial 16S ribosomal RNA". It matches the Rfam family "Bacterial small subunit ribosomal RNA", at positions 524 to 776 of the family's 1533-position model. The record is from RNAcentral.
UACGUAGGGGGCUAGCGUUGUCCGGAAUCAUUGGGCGUAAAGCGCGUGUAGGCGGCCCGGUAAGUCCGCUGUGAAAGUCGGGGGCUCAACCCUCGGAAGCCGGUGGAUACUGUCGGGCUCGAGUACGGAAGAGGCGAGUGGAAUUCCUGGUGUAGCAGUGAAAUGCGUAGAUAUCAAGUGGAACACCAGUGGCGAAGGCGAGUCUCUGGACAUUUCCUGACGCUGAGGCACGAAAGCCAGGGGAGCAAACGGG